Molecule: non-coding RNA, 387 nt
Filed under: Wolbachia endosymbiont of Armadillidium vulgare str. wVulC
Lineage: Bacteria; Pseudomonadati; Pseudomonadota; Alphaproteobacteria; Rickettsiales; Anaplasmataceae
Source: RNAcentral
GUGGUCGUUAACCUGGGAUAAACCUAUCGGAAACUUGUUUACUGGGUAGGUGGCGUCCGGCAUAAAAGUGGCGUGAAUCUAUUUUGGGCUAUUGCGUGGAACUGCGAGAACCUGUCGUUUCGAUGAUAAGGGAGAAAUCCAAACUCUGAGGAUGAGAGUACCGAUGCGAAAAACAGGGGCGGAUUAGCUCAAGAAGUUUCUGUAAUGGAGAUGGAGCGAAGGGAUUUAGUUUAGUCAUUUGUUAACCAGAAAUGGGAUGAGCAAUUGAUUAAAACAGAGUCCUUGAUUAUGCUAUAAUUAGUAGCAAGAGCCGAAUAAUGGGAGCUGUGUGAGUCGAGAGGUUCAUCUGCGAGAGGCUAGCGGGGAAGUUCCGCCGGUCUACUCUCC